This 209-nucleotide long non-coding RNA is filed under the name Phoenix dactylifera (date palm). RNAcentral's name for it is "long non-coding RNA (PDAC_LNC009774)". The record is from RNAcentral. Lineage: Eukaryota; Viridiplantae; Streptophyta; Magnoliopsida; Arecales; Arecaceae.
GAGCACUCUCUUACUUGCGAUUAUCACCUCUCCUCCUCCUCCAAUCUCCUCUGACUUGACCGUCGGAGGGCCAUCACCACCCUGGUGGUGGUGCAAGGCUUGUUUGCAGAUUUCUUGGCGGAAGGUGGAGCGCAACCAACACCAACCAAGACAACUCAGACGGAACCCCGUUCACACCGCAGUGCCAAUCGUUCUCGGUUUGGACCACC